GACGUAGGGCGCGAGCGUUGUCCGGAUUUAUUGGGCGUAAAGGGUGCGUAGGCGGCGCGGUAAGUCGGGUGUGAAAUCUCGGGGCUUAACUCCGAAACUGCAUUCGAUACUACCGUGCUUGAGGACUGGAGAGGAGACUGGAAUUUACGGUGUAGCGGUGAAAUGCGUAGAUAUCGUAAGGAAGACCAGUGGCGAAGGCGGGUCUCUGGACAGUUCCUGACGCUGAGGCACGAAGGCCAGGGGAGCAAACGGG
This 253-nucleotide ribosomal RNA is filed under the name uncultured bacterium. RNAcentral describes it as "partial 16S ribosomal RNA". It matches the Rfam family "Bacterial small subunit ribosomal RNA", at positions 524 to 776 of the family's 1533-position model. The record is from RNAcentral.